RNAcentral lists this long non-coding RNA (1264 nucleotides) under Sus scrofa (pig). RNAcentral's name for it is "lncRNA (ENSSSCG00065078399.1)". The record is from RNAcentral. Lineage: Eukaryota; Metazoa; Chordata; Mammalia; Artiodactyla; Suidae.
AUGUGGUUUAUUUUUCCCCACACAGGCCUACGAAGUACCAAGAAUCAUGCUAAAUGUUGCCCAAACAUCUUCACAACCUGUGAGGUAGAAACUAUUAAUGUGCCCAUUUUACAGAUGAGGAAAAUGAAACUCACAAAUGUGAAGUCACUUGCCCAAGGAGACAUAGGAGCAGCACAGAUUCAAACCCAGUGGAUGGAAAGAGACACAACCAAACAUUACUAUAAAUUGUAUGGUGGAAGGAGAGAGAGGAAGGCAUGUUUCUAAGAGGGCAAGUCAUGGUUCCCAUCAACAGGUAAGCAGAACACUAGCCCAGUAAAUGCAGUUCGAUUUGAGUUACUGCUAAAGUGCUUGAAGUUGUUUGUUUCUCUCCCCCCCGCCCCCCCCAGGUGUUUUAUUUAUUUACGCAAUGAAUUUAUUACAUAUAUACUUGUACAAUGAUCGUCACAAUCCAGUUUUAUAGGAUUUUCAUCCCACAACCCCAGCGCAUCUCCCCAUCCCCCAAACUGUCUCCUCCAGAGACCAUAAGUUUUUUAAAGUCUGUGAGUCAACAUCUGUUCUGCAAAGAAGUUCAGUCUGUCCUUUUUUUAGAUUCCACAUGUCAGUGAAAGCAUUUGAUGUUGGUGUCUCUUUAUCUGACUGACUUCACUCAGCAUGAUAAUUUCUAGGUCCAUCCAUGUUGCUAAAAAUGCCGUUAUUUCGUUCCUUUUUAAUGCCUGAGUAAUAUUCCAUUGUGUAUAUGCACCACAUCUUCUUGAUCCACUCCUUUGUCGAUGGACAUUUAGGCUAUUUCCAUGUCUUGGCUAUUGCAAAUAGUGCUGCAAUGAACAUUGGAAUACAUGUGUCUUUGCAAGUCAUGGUUUUCUCUGGAUAGAUGCCCAGGAGUGGGAUUGCUGGAUCAAAUGGUAGUUCUAUGUUUAGUUUUCUGAGGAAUCUCCAUACUGUUUUCCACAGUGGUUGCACCAAUUUAUGAUCCCACCAACAGUGUACUAGGGUUCCUUUUUCUCCACACCUUAUCCAGCACUUACUGUUUGUAGACUUUUGGGUGAUGGCCAUUCUGGCUGGUGUAAGGUGGUACCUCAUAGUGAUUUUGAUUUGCAUUUCUCUAAUAAUGAGUGAUGUUGAACGUCUUUUCAUGUUCUCUUUUCUAUCCUGAUGAAAACUGGGUGAUUUCUACCUACUGUCAGACAACUAGUACAUCCAUUCAUGUUCCUUUGCCAGGAUCCCCCACCUCCAUGCCCAGAUGCUAAACUCACAGUCCCUAGAU